This 75-nucleotide transfer RNA is filed under the name Sphaerodactylus townsendi. RNAcentral's name for it is "tRNA-Ala". The record is from RNAcentral. Lineage: Eukaryota; Metazoa; Chordata; Lepidosauria; Squamata; Sphaerodactylidae.
GGAUUAUGUGCGGCACAAUGGUAGAGCAUUUGCUUGGCAUGUAGAAGGUCCUAGGGUCAAUGCCUACCAUGUCCA